AGUGAACGCUGGCGGUAGGCCUAACACAUGCAAGUCGAACGGCAGCACAGUAAGAGCUUGCUCUUACGGGUGGCGAGUGGCGGACGGGUGAGGAAUACAUCGGAAUCUACUUUUUCGUGGGGGAUAACGUAGGGAAACUUACGCUAAUACCGCAUACGACCUACGGGUGAAAGCAGGGGAUCUUCGGACCUUGCGCGAUUGAAUGAGUCGAUGUCGGAUUAGCUAGUUGGCGGGGUAAAGGCCCACCAAGGCGACGAUCCGUAGCUGGUCUGAGAGGAUGAUCAGCCACACUGGAACUGAGACACGGUCCAGACUCCUACGGGAGGCAGCAGUGGGGAAUAUUGGACAAAGGGCGCAAGCCUGAUCCAGCCAUACCGCAUGGGUGAAGAAGGCCUUCGGGUUGUAAAGCCCUUUUGUUGGGAAAGAAAAGCAGCAGGUUAAUACCCCGCUGUUCUGACGGUACCCAAAGAAUAAGCACCGGCUAACUUCGUG
This 492-nucleotide ribosomal RNA is filed under the name uncultured bacterium. RNAcentral describes it as "partial 16S ribosomal RNA". It matches the Rfam family "Bacterial small subunit ribosomal RNA", at positions 29 to 507 of the family's 1533-position model. The record is from RNAcentral.